CCCGACCAUGAAGUGUAGGGCCAUCUGGCCUUCUGCAUCCUCUACAUUAGGGUCUAGCUCAAUAGACUCAUUGGUAAGGAGUGUCAUAGGGCGGCAGCAUUGGUCUUCCGGGUGGCGGUCCACCAGGGUCCGCCUGCCCCACGUCCGCUUGAAGCCUUCCAAUCGAAUGGGACUUGUAAGAACGAAAAAACAAAGAAAAAUAGAGAUAGUAAGGAAAAAAAUGAGACGACUUGAGAUGGGUUCGAAGAAAGGAAAGUAAAAAUAAUACACUAUAGAAACAAAAAAAAAAAAACAUCAUGGAGGCUUCCAAACUUGGCACGUGGUAUGUUAGGAGAUUAUUCUAUAAUCUUACAUAUCAAUACGGAAUAUCACCCUCAAUAGAUA
This 384-nucleotide long non-coding RNA is filed under the name Elaeis guineensis (African oil palm). RNAcentral's name for it is "long non-coding RNA (EGUI_LNC000136)". Lineage: Eukaryota; Viridiplantae; Streptophyta; Magnoliopsida; Arecales; Arecaceae. The record is from RNAcentral.